Molecule: small RNA, 29 nt
Filed under: Bombyx mori (domestic silkworm)
Lineage: Eukaryota; Metazoa; Arthropoda; Insecta; Lepidoptera; Bombycidae
Description: ovarian small RNA-1664
Source: RNAcentral
AACAGGUGAAUGACACGCUUGAGUGCCGC